This 301-nucleotide ribosomal RNA is filed under the name uncultured bacterium. RNAcentral describes it as "partial 16S ribosomal RNA". It matches the Rfam family "Bacterial small subunit ribosomal RNA", at positions 509 to 809 of the family's 1533-position model. The record is from RNAcentral.
CAGCCGCCACGGGAAUACAUAGGUGGCGAGCGUUGUCCGGAAUUAUUGGGCGUAAAGGGAGCGCAGGCGGACAUAUAAGUCCAUCUUAAAAGUGCGGGGCUCAACCCCGUGAGGGGAUGGAAACUGUAUGCCUUGAGUGCAGGAGAGGAAAGCGGAAUUCCCAGUGUAGCGGUGAAAUGCGUAGAUAUUGGGAGGAACACCAGUGGCGAAGGCGGCUUUCUGGACUGUAACUGACGCUGAGGCUCGAAAGCCAGGGGAGCGAACGGGAUUAGAUACCCGCGUAGUCCCUGUCUCUUAUACA